This 490-nucleotide ribosomal RNA is filed under the name uncultured bacterium. Its description in RNAcentral is "partial 16S ribosomal RNA". It matches the Rfam family "Bacterial small subunit ribosomal RNA", at positions 30 to 507 of the family's 1533-position model. The record is from RNAcentral.
AUUGAACGCUGGCGGCAGGCCUAACACAUGCAAGUCGAACGGUAACAGGAAGAAGCUUGCUUCUUUGCUGACGAGUGGCGGACGGGUGAGUAAUGUCUGGGAAACUGCCUGAUGGAGGGGGAUAACUACUGGAAACGGUAGCUAAUACCGCAUAACGUCGCAAGACCAAAGAGGGGGACCUUCGGGCCUCUUGCCAUCGGAUGUGCCCAGAUGGGAUUAGCUAGUAGGUGGGGUAACGGCUCACCUAGGCGACGAUCCCUAGCUGGUCUGAGAGGAUGACCAGCCACACUGGAACUGAGACACGGUCCAGACUCCUACGGGAGGCAGCAGUGGGGAAUAUUGCACAAUGGGCGCAAGCCUGAUGCAGCCAUGCCGCGUGUAUGAAGAAGGCCUUCGGGUUGUAAAGUACUUUCAGCGGGGAAGAAAAGAGUAAAGUUAAUACCUUUGCUCAUUGACGUUACCCACAGAAGAAGCACCGGCUAACUCCGUG